GUGGAGUCGAAAUAAAAAAUACAGUAACAAUUACUUACAAACUUUUAUACUUAUAUCAGGAGUCUAAACCAAAUGUGUUACAAAAAUAAUAUAAAGCUAACGUUUAAAUAACUUUAACGAAUACUACUCGAUUACAAAAUUAGGCAGGUUAACUCUCCAAACGGACAAGGGACUACACGAAACACGUUCACAGUUCACGAAGUGCGUCUCGAACUGAAACGCGCACAGCGUACGCGCGUCAUCUCUCCUACGGUGACCUUUCUUCACUAUUCUUCUAACACGGCCUCUCCUGACUGGAGGACGUCCUCGUGCUCCUGUGUUUCCUGAUGUUAGGAGCCCACCGAGCAGGAGGGCACAGGCUCCGUAGUAGGCUCGCGAGGCGCAUUAUUGCUCCGAGCAGCUUGCUCAGGCGUGGACUCCAUAUCGUCAUCAUGGUCUGCACCUGAGAACAUAAAACAUAUCGGAUCGGAAUAUCAGCAAUUACCAAGAACAUAUUGAUCCGUAGUUGAUCACAAAUACAAAUACAAAUACCAGAGAGGAAGCACGACGUUAGCUAUCUCUGACUGUAAGAAACAUAGGCACGACGUUAGCUUAUUUCUUACAUCAGCUCACCUACAUGGCAUAGGCACGACGUUAGCGUACCAUGAGGCUCGCACGAAUGGCAGAGGCGCGACGUUAGCGUACCAUUUAAAAAUUAACCACAUGGCAGAGGCACGACGUUAGCAUACCAUGAGGCUCACAACUUACAAGCAGGUUUGCCCGCACAGGUAGUUACGGGUUUGUGUGUUUCCAAAUCAACCGCUAGUCAACCGCUGCGGCACCCACUAGUCGGUAGCAUCCGCGAGACGCCAUGACUGACGGUUCAAGAAGACCGCAGACAGAAUACAGUCAGCAGUUGUAUCGCCCGAUUCUGCGGCGCCUGAAGCUCGCAGCUAGCAAGCAGAGUAGCCCGCAGAUAGAAGACAGUCAAGGUUGCGUCGCCUGAGUCGAACUUGCCAGUCGGUUGUGCCCGCUGCUUAACGGUCUCUGGAAUGCGAGCUUCGACUACAACUUGCACCUUCUGUUCGCUCGGCUGUACCUGACCCUGACUGAUAGUCCGUCCCAAGUAUUCUAUUUUAGUGGACAAAAAAAAAGCAUUUAUUUAGGUUAAUAGAAAAACCAGAAUCCGUUAAAGUUUGAAGAACCUUGCGAAGAGUCCACAGACCCCUCAUUAAUUGUACUGCUCAGUUUAUACUGAGAUGAUACAUCGUCAAUAUACAGGACAUCUACAGACUCUAAGUAUGCGUAAAGAGUUUUUGACAGUAUCCGCUAGUAAACAACAGGUGCAUUUGCUAAACUAUAGGCAUUUUCAAAUAUUCAUAGUGCCCCUCUGGUGUGACAAAACCUGUGAGUGGUAUUGAGGCAUUAUCCACAGGUAUCUGGUGAAAUCCUGUGGCCAUAUCGAGACUGGUAAAGAAUUUAUGUUUACCUAAUCGUUCAAUGUGCUUGUCGAUCAAAAGUAAAGAGAAGCGAUCGUUAACUGUAAUUUCGUUGAGUUUACGAUAGUCGAAACUCAUGUAGCCAGACCAGUUUUUUUUUUUUUUUUUGCUAAUAGGAUAGGACUCGCAUAUUUCAAUUCAGAGUCUAGAUUGAUAUUCUUUUCGAGAAGAUCUUUAAUUGUUUCGUGAAUAUUUUAUAAUUUCAGGAUAAUAUUGCCUGUAGGGCCUUUAAUUAACUGGCAUAGCAUAUUUAACUUAAUUGACACGCUGCCGGUGUUAACUGUGGACAUAACCGUCCCAGAAAUAAAACAGUUCAAAAAUGUCUUAAUUAGGUCUAACAGGUUACUUAAAUUUUGAUCAGCUAUUAAAUAUGUCUUAAUCGGAAUCUGCGUAGUCGGCAUGGUACACAUAACAUCAUAUGUAAGACGAGGCUUGUAAGUAAGGUAUUGCUGGUCACGGGUACGUACACGAGUAGCAACUUCGCGGUUUAAUACAUCGGUACCAACAAUACCAACAAUAAUAAGAGUACUCAUAAGUUCAGGGGACACGGCAUGGAAGUCACCUCUAAAGUUAUUUCAUUCAACUCUAUGGCCAAAGUAACAAAAUAAGUUGACUCAAUUUCAUUUCCGCCU
Molecule: unclassified non-coding RNA, 2110 nt
Filed under: Melitaea cinxia (Glanville fritillary)
Lineage: Eukaryota; Metazoa; Arthropoda; Insecta; Lepidoptera; Nymphalidae
Description: misc RNA ENSMCXG00005010622.1
Source: RNAcentral